UGGGGAAUCUUAGACAAUGGGGGAAACCCUGAUCCAGCCAUGCCGCGUGUGUGAAGAAGGCCUUCGGGUUGUAAAGCACUUUUGUUGGGGAAGAAAAGCACUGGGCUAAUACCCUGGUGUCAUGACGGUACCCAAAGAAUAAGCACCGGCUAACUUCGUGCCAGCAGCCGCGGUAAUACGGAGGAUGCAAGUGUUAUCCGGAAUCACUGGGCGUAAAGCGUCUGUAGGUGGUUUAAUAAGUCAACUGUU
Molecule: ribosomal RNA, 249 nt
Filed under: uncultured Lysobacteraceae bacterium
Lineage: Bacteria; Pseudomonadati; Pseudomonadota; Gammaproteobacteria; Lysobacterales; Lysobacteraceae
Description: uncultured Xanthomonadaceae bacterium partial 16S ribosomal RNA
Rfam family: Bacterial small subunit ribosomal RNA
Source: RNAcentral